Molecule: ribosomal RNA, 496 nt
Filed under: uncultured bacterium
Lineage: Bacteria
Description: partial 16S ribosomal RNA
Rfam family: Bacterial small subunit ribosomal RNA
Source: RNAcentral
AUGAACGCUGGCGGCGUGCCUAAUCCAUGCAAGUCGCGCGAACAGAUAAGGAGCUUGCUCCUUUGACGUUAGCGGCGGACGGGUGAGUAACACGUGGGUAACCUACCUAUAAGACUGGAAUAACUCCGGGAAACCGGGGCUAAUGCCGGAUAACAUGUUGAACCGCAUGGUUCUACAGUGAAAGGCGGCUUUGCUGUCACUUAUAGAUGGACCCGCGCCGUAUUAGCUAGUUGGUGAGGUAACGGCUCACCAAGGCAACGAUACGUAGCCGACCUGAGAGGGUGAUCGGCCACACUGGAACUGAGACACGGUCCAGACUCCUACGGGAGGCAGCAGUAGGGAAUCUUCCGCAAUGGGCGAAAGCCUGACGGAGCAACGCCGCGUGAGUGAUGAAGGUCUUCGGAUCGUAAAACUCUGUUAUUAGGGAAGAACAAAUGCGUAAGUAACUGUGCGCGUCUUGACGGUACCUAAUCAGAAAGCCACGGCUAACUACGUG